Myotis lucifugus (little brown bat) is the source of this 85-nucleotide small nuclear RNA. Its record names the gene U4. It matches the Rfam family "U4 spliceosomal RNA". From Rfam's summary of the family: U4 small nuclear RNA (U4 snRNA) is a component of the major U2-dependent spliceosome. The structure of U4 snRNA from yeast and human has been reported. NCBI's taxonomy places the organism in Eukaryota, Metazoa, Chordata, Mammalia, Chiroptera, Vespertilionidae. The record is from Ensembl.
AGCUUUGUGCAGUGGGUAGUAUUCUAGCCAAUGAGGUAUAUCUGAGGCAUAAUUAUUGUUAAUUGAAAUACAAAUCUGGGUAACC